RNAcentral lists this long non-coding RNA (465 nucleotides) under Elaeis guineensis (African oil palm). Its description in RNAcentral is "long non-coding RNA (EGUI_LNC077640)". Lineage: Eukaryota; Viridiplantae; Streptophyta; Magnoliopsida; Arecales; Arecaceae. The record is from RNAcentral.
GAUCAAGAUUUGGUUAGUUCAAGUUUGACUUCGAAUUGGUUUGAAAUCAAGCUUUUUUUGCAGGACUCUUCAUUGCCACCAACCAACCUUCUUUCUCAUGCACAAACAAAUUUUUACAUGAUGUUUUUUGCACCAAUCUAAGUUAUGUCGCCCUCCUUUCUGAGUCUCUUAUGUAUGGAUUAAAUUUGAUUUAAAAUAAAUUUUAAAUUUGAUUUGAAUUCAUAAUAAGAUCAAAGGCUAUUUUGAAGCUGAACUAGAUUAUCCAAACACUACAUGUGACACCACCUUUAAGAAAGGCUAGUUUUUGUGCACCAAACCACUUCAGAUUUGGUGUGAGAAAACCUCAUAGAGUGCAUGAGAGAUCUGAGAAAGAGAGGUGUGCGUCUGUGCAUGAGAAAAAGAGGAAGAAGAUCCUCUUUGGGGCGUGAGAUCUAGGGUUUCCUAGUUCCUAUUUUAUGAGAGAGA